This 412-nucleotide ribosomal RNA is filed under the name uncultured microorganism. RNAcentral describes it as "bacterial SSU rRNA". It matches the Rfam family "Bacterial small subunit ribosomal RNA", at positions 9 to 417 of the family's 1533-position model. The record is from RNAcentral.
GAGUUUGAUCUUGGCUCAGAUUGAACGCUGGCGGCAUGCCUUACACAUGCAAGUCGAACGGCAGCAUGAUCUAGCUUGCUAGAUUGAUGGCGAGUGGCGAACGGGUGAGUAAUACAUCGGAACGUGCCCUGUAGUGGGGGAUAACUAGUCGAAAGAUUAGCUAAUACCGCAUACGACCUGAGGGUGAAAGUGGGGGACCGCAAGGCCUCAUGCUAUAGGAGCGGCCGAUGUCUGAUUAGCUAGUUGGUGGGGUAAAGGCCCACCAAGGCGACGAUCAGUAGCUGGUCUGAGAGGACGAUCAGCCACACCUGGGACUGAGACACGGCCCAGACUCCUACGGGAGGCAGCAGUGGGGAAUUUUGGACAAUGGGCGAAAGCCUGAUCCAGCAAUGCCGCGUGUGUGAGAAGGCCU